This 253-nucleotide ribosomal RNA is filed under the name uncultured bacterium. RNAcentral describes it as "partial 16S ribosomal RNA". It matches the Rfam family "Bacterial small subunit ribosomal RNA", at positions 524 to 776 of the family's 1533-position model. The record is from RNAcentral.
UACGGAGGGGGCUAGCGUUGUUCGGAAUUACUGGGCGUAAAGCGCACGUAGGCGGACUGUUAAGUCGGGGGUGAAAUCCUGGGGCUCAACCUCAGAAUUGCCUCCGAUACUGGCAGUCUCGAGUGCGGGAGAGGUGAGUGGAAUUCCCAGUGUAGAGGUGAAAUUCGUAGAUAUCAGGAGGAACACCGGCGGCGAAGGCGGCUUCCUGGCCCAUUACUGACGUUCAGGUACGAAAGCGUGGGGAGCAAACAGG